UACGUAGGGGGCAAGCGUUGUCCGGAUUCAUUGGGCGUAAAGAGCGUGUAGGCGGCCAGGUAGGUCGGUUGUGAAAACUGGAGGCUCAACCUUCAGAGGUCGGCCGAAACCAUCUGGCUAGAGUCCGGGAGAGGAGAGUGGAAUUCCUGGUGUAGCGGUGAAAUGCGCAGAUAUCGGGAGGAACACCGGUGGCGAAGGCGGUUCUCUGGGCCUGUACUGACGCUGAGGAGCGAAAGCGUGGGGAGCGAACAGG
This 253-nucleotide ribosomal RNA is filed under the name uncultured bacterium. RNAcentral's name for it is "partial 16S ribosomal RNA". It matches the Rfam family "Bacterial small subunit ribosomal RNA", at positions 524 to 776 of the family's 1533-position model. The record is from RNAcentral.